Molecule: ribosomal RNA, 433 nt
Filed under: uncultured bacterium
Lineage: Bacteria
Description: partial 16S ribosomal RNA
Rfam family: Bacterial small subunit ribosomal RNA
Source: RNAcentral
AACGAACGCUGGCGGCAUGCCUAACACAUGCAAGUCGAACGAAGCCUUCGGGCUUAGUGGCGCACGGGUGCGUAACGCGUGGGAAUCUGCCCCUUGCUUCGGAAUAACAGUUAGAAAUGACUGCUAAUACCGGAUGAAGUCUUCGGACCAAAGAUUUAUCGGCCAGGGAUGAGCCCGCGUAGGAUUAGGUAGUUGGUGGGGUAAAGGCCUACCAAGCCGACGAUCCUUAGCUGGUCUGAGAGGAUGAUCAGCCACACUGGGACUGAGACACGGCCCAGACUCCUACGGGAGGCAGCAGUGGGGAAUAUUGGACAAUGGACGCAAGUCUGAUCCAGCAAUGCCGCGUGAGUGAUGAAGGCCUUAGGGUUGUAAAGCUCUUUUACCAGGGAUGAUAAUGACAGUACCUGGAGAAUAAGCGCCGGCUAACUCCGUG